GGCUUCUCUGACACAUAAAGGAGGUUUCAAUGGAAAUGAGAGUUUGAACACAGCAUCAAGGCAGAGGUUUGGCUGACAGAACACACCACUCACUGAGAAUGCACAACGAGCGUCAAUUCUUCGACUUUCCUGCCAGCGAUUCCACGAUUAAGGUUCAAUGUAAAUGCUACCACGGCUUCAUUUUCCAUAGUACAGACACUGCCAACUGGAUUGUCACCUGUUUUCUUAUACCGUGCUGUCCCUCAAAUGGAACUCAAAGUGCUUUACAAAGGAGAUCAGGAUCAUUAUCCGCAUUUGAUGGCUGGGGAAACUGAGGCUCAGAGGCAAAGGUACUUGAAGGAAAGACUGGAUAUAUUUACCCAGAGGUAUCCUCUCAUAAGGAAAUGGCGGGCCAGUUACCUUCUCCAGAGGACACUCAAAGGAAGCUGUGUGUGAAUGAGACUCUGCUCCAGGAAUAAACAGGACUCCCUUCAUAGGCAGUCAGUGCCAAUGCUUAACCAGCAGUAGAGUGA
Long non-coding RNA from Chelonoidis abingdonii (Abingdon island giant tortoise), 512 nucleotides. RefSeq lists it as uncharacterized. The record is from RefSeq and is a predicted model, not a curated record. Lineage: Eukaryota; Metazoa; Chordata; Testudines; Testudinidae.